CAGUAGCCGCGGUAAUACGUAGGGUGCGAGCGUUAAUCGGAAUUACUGGGCGUAAAGCGUGCGCAGGCGGUUGUGUAAGACAGGUGUGAAAUCCCCGGGCUUAACCUGGGAACUGCGCUUGUGACUGCACAGCUAGAGUAUGGCAGAGGGGGGUGGAAUUCCACGUGUAGCAGUGAAAUGCGUAGAGAUGUGGAGGAACACCGAUGGCGAAGGCAGCCCCCUGGGCCAAUACUGACGCUCAUGCACGAAAGCGUGGGGAACAAACAGGAUUAGAUACCCCAGUAGUCCCUGUCUCUUAUAC
This 301-nucleotide ribosomal RNA is filed under the name uncultured bacterium. RNAcentral's name for it is "partial 16S ribosomal RNA". It matches the Rfam family "Bacterial small subunit ribosomal RNA", at positions 509 to 807 of the family's 1533-position model. The record is from RNAcentral.